GUGCCCGUCCACCGAACGGUCGGCAGGCGAUCCGCGUCGGUCGCGCUGGGUGGUAUGGUUCCCCAGAGGCCGGUUCUUGUGCUGCCUACCCCUUCAGGGGAAGAGUUCCAAACUCGAUGUAAGCCUCCAUCCGGCGCCCUCCAAGGGGCGCGGGAGGACAACGGAGCACCCCCCGCGUUCCACCGAGCCUCCUCGGUCGCGUGGCCCGCGGGGACGUGCGAUGCUCUCGGACCCAGCGAACGCCGUGGGCGAGGACUCACGUCCCGGUCCCAAGUGAAGCAACGGUAUAACGCACGACGGCCGCCCCCGCCCCCCGACCGCCCCGGCGGCGCGGGGGCGAAGGCGCGGCGUCGCUGAGGAAUGCU
RNAcentral lists this unclassified non-coding RNA (365 nucleotides) under Acacia debilis. RNAcentral describes it as "partial external transcribed spacer". Lineage: Eukaryota; Viridiplantae; Streptophyta; Magnoliopsida; Fabales; Fabaceae. The record is from RNAcentral.